AGUGAACGCUGGCGGUAGGCCUAACACAUGCAAGUCGAACGGCAGCACAGUAAGAGCUUGCUCUUACGGGUGGCGAGUGGCGGACGGGUGAGGGAUACAUCGGAAUCUACUUUUUCGUGGGGGAGAACGUAGGGGAACUUACGCUAAUACCGCAUACGACCUACGGGUGAAAGCAGGGGAUCUUCGGACCUUGCGCGAGUGAAUGAGCCGAUGUCGGAUUAGCUAGUUGGCGGGGUAAAGGCCCACCAAGGCGACGAUCCGUAGCUGGUCUGAGAGGAUGAUCAGCCACACUGGAACUGAGACACGGUCCAGACUCCUACGGGAGGCAGCAGUGGGGAAUAUUGGACAAUGGGCGCAAGCCUGAUCCAGCCAUACCGCGUGGGUGAAGAAGGCCUUCGGGUUGUAAAGCCCUUUUGUUGGGAAAGAAAAGCAGCAGGUUAAUACCCCGCUGUUCUGACGGUACCAAAAGAAUAAGCACCGGCUAACUUCGUG
This 492-nucleotide ribosomal RNA is filed under the name uncultured bacterium. RNAcentral describes it as "partial 16S ribosomal RNA". It matches the Rfam family "Bacterial small subunit ribosomal RNA", at positions 29 to 507 of the family's 1533-position model. The record is from RNAcentral.